Molecule: ribosomal RNA, 270 nt
Filed under: uncultured archaeon
Lineage: Archaea
Description: partial 16S ribosomal RNA
Rfam family: Archaeal small subunit ribosomal RNA
Source: RNAcentral
CAGCACCUCAAGUGGUCAGGAUGAUUAUUGGGCCUGAAGCAUCCGUAGCCGGCUCUGUAAGUUUUCGGUUAAAUCUGUACGCUCAACGUACAGGCUGCCGGGAAUACUGCAGCGCUAGGGAGUGGGAGAGGUAGACGGUACUCGGUAGGAAGGGGUAAAAUCCUUUGAUCUAUUGAUGACCACCUGUGGCGAAGGCGGUCUACCAGAACACGUCCGACGGUGAGGGAUGAAAGCUGGGGGAGCAAACCGGAUUAGAUACCCGAGUAGUCC